This 369-nucleotide long non-coding RNA is filed under the name Elaeis guineensis (African oil palm). RNAcentral's name for it is "long non-coding RNA (EGUI_LNC034316)". The record is from RNAcentral. Lineage: Eukaryota; Viridiplantae; Streptophyta; Magnoliopsida; Arecales; Arecaceae.
UAUGGGUAUAAAUGUCCCUCUGAUCUGAGACCACCACGGUGACUUGUAAGCAACUCACUGCACUUAGGCACUGGACUACCUGAAUUUCUAAUUCAGUGACGAAAGGCUGCUGGGUGUAGUCAAGUACUUGACUUGUCGGUGCGUGUGUCAAGAUGGGAUUGACCACUCCAGUUUAGGAGCUGUGUACAAUCAUGUUUCAAUUUAGCAAAAUCUUGGCCAGGGUAGUCCUUGUGAGGAGUCACAGGACUGUUUGAGUUGAGCACGAUUCGGAUGAUCUGAUCAGGGUUGACAGUUUAACCCUGAGUCAUCCUAAACACAGAGGUCAAAAGGGAUGAAUUAUAUAGUAACCAUAUUCAUGUAGGUUCUGAG